Molecule: ribosomal RNA, 855 nt
Filed under: Clostridium sp.
Lineage: Bacteria; Bacillati; Bacillota; Clostridia; Eubacteriales; Clostridiaceae
Description: bacterial SSU rRNA
Rfam family: Bacterial small subunit ribosomal RNA
Source: RNAcentral
UUCGGGAAGUGGAUUAGCGGCGGACGGGUGAGUAACACGUGGGUAACCUGCCUCAAAGUGGGGAAUAGCCUUCCGAAAGGAAGAUUAAUACCGCAUAAUGUAAGAGAAUCGCAUGAUUUUCUUACCAAAGAUUUAUCGCUUUGAGAUGGACCCGCGGCGCAUUAGCUAGUUGGUGAGGUAAAUGCUCACCAAGGCAACGAUGCGUAGCCGACCUGAGAGGGUGAUCGGCCACAUUGGAACUGAGACACGGUCCAGACUCCUACGGGAGGCAGCAGUGGGGAAUAUUGCGCAAUGGGGGAAACCCUGACGCAGCAACGCCGCGUGAGUGAUGAAGGUCUUCGGAUUGUAAAGCUCUGUUUUCUAGGACGAUAAUGACGGUACUAGAAGAGGAAGCCACGGCUAACUACGUGCCAGCAGCCGCGGUAAUACGUAGGUGGCGAGCGUUGUCCGGAUUUACUGGGCGUAAAGGGUGCGUAGGCGGAUUCUUAAGUGGGAUGUGAAAUACCCGGGCUUAACUUGGGUGCUGCAUUCCAAACUGGGAAUCUAGAGUGCAGGAGAGGAAAGUGGAAUUCCUAGUGUAGCGGUGAAAUGCGUAGAGAUUAGGAAGAACACCAGUGGCGAAGGCGACUUUCUGGACUGUAACUGACGCUGAGGCACGAAAGCGUGGGUAGCAAACAGGAUUAGAUACCCUGGUAGUCCACGCCGUAAACGAUGGAUACUAGGUGUAGGAGGUAUCGACCCCUUCUGUGCCGCAGUUAACGCAAUAAGUAUCCCGCCUGGGGAGUACGGUCGCAAGAUUAAAACUCAAAGGAAUUGACGGGGGCCCGCACAAGCAGCGGAGCAUGUGGUUUAAUU